GACGAACGCUGGCGGCGUGCUUAACACAUGCAAGUCGAACGGAAAGGCCCUGCUUUUGUGGGGUGCUCGAGUGGCGAACGGGUGAGUAACACGUGAGUAACCUGCCCCUGACUUUGGGAUAACUUCAGGAAACUGGGGCUAAUACCGGAUAGGAGCUCCUGCUGCAUGGUGGGGUUGGAAAGAUUCGGCGGUUGGGGAUGGAUUUGGGGGUUAUCGGGUUGUUGGAGGGGGAGGGGCAUACCAAGGCUUUGACGGGUAGCCGGCCUUGGAGGGUGACCGGGCACCUGGGGACUGAGAUACGGCCCAGACUCCUACGUGAGGCAGCAGUGGGAAAUAUUGCACAAUGGGCGGAAGCCUGAUGCAGCAACGCCGCGUGCGUGAUGACGGCCUUCGGGUUGUAAACCGCUUUCGCCUGUGACGAAGCGUGAGUGACGGUAAUGGGUAAAGAAGCACCGGCUAACUACGUG
RNAcentral lists this ribosomal RNA (467 nucleotides) under uncultured bacterium. Its description in RNAcentral is "partial 16S ribosomal RNA". It matches the Rfam family "Bacterial small subunit ribosomal RNA", at positions 28 to 507 of the family's 1533-position model. The record is from RNAcentral.